Non-coding RNA from Caenorhabditis elegans, 21 nucleotides. The record is from Ensembl. NCBI's taxonomy places the organism in Eukaryota, Metazoa, Nematoda, Chromadorea, Rhabditida, Rhabditidae.
UCACAUAGACGUAUCUUCCUC